RNAcentral lists this ribosomal RNA (305 nucleotides) under uncultured bacterium. Its description in RNAcentral is "bacterial SSU rRNA". It matches the Rfam family "Bacterial small subunit ribosomal RNA", at positions 337 to 638 of the family's 1533-position model. The record is from RNAcentral.
UCCUACGGGGGGCAGCAGUGAGGAAUAUUGGUCAAUGGGCGGGAGCCUGAACCAGCCAAGUCGCGUGAGGGAAGACGGUCCUAUGGAUUGUAAACCUCUUUAGGCGGGGAGCAAUGCCGGGCACGCGUGCCCGGAGGGAGAGUACCCGCAGAAUAAGCAUCGGCUAACUCCGUGCCAGCAGCCGCGGUAAUACGGAGGAUGCGAGCGUUAUCCGGAUUUAUUGGGUUUAAAGGGUGCGCAGGCGGAAGCGGCAAGUCAGCGGUAAAAUUGCGGGGCUCAACCUCGCCGAGCCGUUGAAACUGCUC